This 636-nucleotide ribosomal RNA is filed under the name Alaemon alaudipes (greater hoopoe-lark). RNAcentral describes it as "partial 16S ribosomal RNA". It matches the Rfam family "Bacterial large subunit ribosomal RNA", at positions 2013 to 2865 of the family's 2925-position model. The record is from RNAcentral. Lineage: Eukaryota; Metazoa; Chordata; Aves; Passeriformes; Alaudidae.
UAACUGUCUCUUACAGGCAAUCGGUGAANUUGAUCUCCCUGUGCGAAAGCAGGGAUAACCACAUAAGACGAGAAGACCCUGUGGAACUUCAAAAACAGCAACCACCCCAAAAUACAUCCACCCCCACCCCGGGCUCACUUACUCCUAAAGCACUGGUUGCAUUUUUUCGGUUGGGGCGACCUUGGAGCAAAACAAAACCUCCAAAAAUUGGACCAUAACUCCAGACUAAGAGCAACCCCUCAACGUGCGAGCAGCACCCAGAUCCAAUACAAUUGAUCAAUGGACCAAGCUACCCCAGGGAUAACAGCGCAAUCUCCCCCAAGAGUCCAUAUCGACAGGGAGGUUUACGACCUCGAUGUUGGAUCAGGACAUCCUAGUGGUGCAGCAGCUACUAAGGGUUCGUUUGUUCAACGAUUAACAGUCCUACGUGAUCUGAGUUCAGACCGGAGCAAUCCAGGUCGGUUUCUAUCUAUGACGAACUCUUCCCCGUACGAAAGGAUAGGAACAGUGAGGCCAAUACCACAAGCAAGCCUUCGCCUUAAGUAAUGAAGCCAACUCAAUUACAAAAGGCUAUCACACUCCCCACGUCCUAGAAAAGGACCAGCUAGCGUGGCAGAGCCAGGUAAAUGCAAAAGG